GAUGAACGCUGACAGAAUGCUUAACACAUGCAAGUCUUUGGCGAAGCUGUGCUUGCACAGCCUAGCCAAGGCGGACGGGUGAGUAACGCGUAAGGAACUUGCCCUGCAGUCAGGGAUAACAGGCGGAAACGACUGAUAAGACCUGGUAAAGUCAGGCGGACUCAUGUCCAGCCUGAUGAAAAGAGAUGCUGCAGGAGAGCCUUGCGUCCUAUUAGCUUGUUGGUGGGGUAACGGCCCACCAAGGCGAUGAUAGGUAGCCGGCCUGAGAGGGUGGACGGCCACAAGGGGACUGAGAUACGGCCCUUACUCCUACGGGAGGCAGCAGUGGGGAAUAUUGGACAAUGGGGGCAACCCUGAUCCAGCAAUUCUGUGUGCACGAUGAAGGUUUUCGGAUUGUAAAGUGCUUUCAGCAGGGAAGAAAAAAAUGACGGUACCUGCAGAAGAAGCGACGGCUAAAUACGUG
This 463-nucleotide ribosomal RNA is filed under the name uncultured bacterium. RNAcentral describes it as "partial 16S ribosomal RNA". It matches the Rfam family "Bacterial small subunit ribosomal RNA", at positions 28 to 507 of the family's 1533-position model. The record is from RNAcentral.